UACGUAGGGGGCUAGCGUUGUCCGGAAUCAUUGGGCGUAAAGCGCGUGUAGGCGGUCCGGUAAGUCCGCUGUGAAAGUCGAGGGCUCAACCCUCGAAUGCCGGUGGAUACUGUCGGGCUUGAGUACGGGAGAGGCGAGUGGAAUUCCUGGUGUAGCGGUGAAAUGCGCAGAUAUCGGGAAGAACACCCGUGGCGAAGGCGGUUCUCUGGGACGGUACUGACGCUGAGACGCGAAAGCGUGGGGAGCGAACAGG
This 253-nucleotide ribosomal RNA is filed under the name uncultured bacterium. Its description in RNAcentral is "partial 16S ribosomal RNA". It matches the Rfam family "Bacterial small subunit ribosomal RNA", at positions 524 to 776 of the family's 1533-position model. The record is from RNAcentral.